UCGAGAAUAUUCCACAAUGGGCGAAAGCCUGAUGGAGCGACGCCGCGUGCAGGAAGAAGGUCUUCGGAUUGUAAACUGCUUUUCUAUGGGAUGAAGUUAUUGACAGUACCAUGGGAAUAAGGGGUUGCUAACUCCGUGCCAGCAGCCGCGGUAAUACGGAGGAUGCAAGCGUUAUCCGGAUUCAUUGGGUUUAAAGGGUGCGCAGGCGGAAUGAUAAGUCAGUGGUGAAAUCCUACAGCUCAACUGUAGAACUGCCAUUGAUACUGUCGUUCUUGAGUACACUUGGAGUGGGCGGAAUGUGUCAUGUAGCGGUGAAAUGCUUAGAUAUGACACAGAACACCGAUCGCGAAGGCAGCUCACUAAAUUGUAACUGACGCUCAGGCACGAAAGCGUGGGGAUCAAACAGG
RNAcentral lists this ribosomal RNA (407 nucleotides) under uncultured bacterium. RNAcentral describes it as "bacterial SSU rRNA". It matches the Rfam family "Bacterial small subunit ribosomal RNA", at positions 355 to 776 of the family's 1533-position model. The record is from RNAcentral.